GGUCGUUUGGCCGAGUGGUCUAAGGCGCCGGAUUCAAGUCCCGGUCUCGAAAGAGGCACGAGUUCGAACCUCGUAGCGAUCA
Molecule: transfer RNA, 82 nt
Organism: Batrachochytrium dendrobatidis JEL423
Lineage: Eukaryota; Fungi; Chytridiomycota; Chytridiomycetes; Rhizophydiales
Rfam family: tRNA
About the family: Transfer RNA (tRNA) molecules are approximately 80 nucleotides in length.
Source: Rfam